GAUGAACGCUGGCGGCGUGCCUAAUACAUGCAAGUCGAGCGAACGGACGAGAAGCUUGCUUCUCUGAUGUUAGCGGCGGACGGGUGAGUAACACGUGGAUAACCUACCUAUAAGACUGGGAUAACUUCGGGAAACCGGAGCUAAUACCGGAUAAUAUUUUGAACCGCAUGGUUCAAAAGUGAAAGACGGUCUUGCUGUCACUUAUAGAUGGAUCCGCGCUGCAUUAGCUAGUUGGUAAGGUAACGGCUUACCAAGGCAACGAUGCAUAGCCGACCUGAGAGGGUGAUCGGCCACACUGGAACUGAGACACGGUCCAGACUCCUACGGGAGGCAGCAGUAGGGAAUCUUCCGCAAUGGGCGAAAGCCUGACGGAGCAACGCCGCGUGAGUGAUGAAGGUCUUCGGAUCGUAAAACUCUGUUAUUAGGGAAGAACAUAUGUGUAAGUAACUGUGCACAUCUUGACGGUACCUAAUCAGAAAGCCACGGCUAACUACGUGCCAGCAGCCGCGGUAAUACGUAGGUGGCAAGCGUUAUCCGGAAUUAUUGGGCGUAAAGCGCGCGUAGGCGGUUCUUUAAGUCUGAUGUGAAAGCCCACGGCUCAACCGUGGAGGGUCAUUGGAAACUGGAAAACUUGAGUGCAGAAGAGGAAAGUGGAAUUCCAUGUGUAGCGGUGAAAUGCGCAGAGAUAUGGAGGAACACCAGUGGCGAAGGCGACUUUCUGGUCUGUAACUGACGCUGAUGUGCGAAAGCGUGGGGAUCAAACAGGAUUAGAUACCCUGGUAGUCCACGCCGUAAACGAUGAGUGCUAAGUGUUAGGGGGUUUCCGCCCCUUAGUGCUGCAGCUAACGCAUUAAGCACUCCGCCUGGGGAGUACGACCGCAAGGUUGAAACUCAAAGGAAUUGACGGGGACCCGCACAAGCGGUGGAGCAUGUGGUUUAAUUCGAGGCAACGCGAAGAACCUUACCAAAUCUUGACAUCCUUUGACAACUCUAGAGAUAGAGCUUUCCCCUUCGGGGGACAAAGUGACAGGUGGUGCAUGGUUGUCGUCAGCUCGUGUCGUGAGAUGUUGGGUUAAGUCCCGCAACGAGCGCAACCCUUAAGCUUAGUUGCCAUCAUUAAGUUGGGCACUCUAAGUUGACUGCCGGUGACAAACCGGAGGAAGGUGGGGAUGACGUCAAAUCAUCAUGCCCCUUAUGAUUUGGGCUACACACGUGCUACAAUGGACAAUACAAAGGGCAGCGAAACCGCGAGGUCAAGCAAAUCCCAUAAAGUUGUUCUCAGUUCGGAUUGUAGUCUGCAACUCGACUACAUGAAGCUGGAAUCGCUAGUAAUCGUAGAUCAGCAUGCUACGGUGAAUACGUUCCCGGGUCU
This 1372-nucleotide ribosomal RNA is filed under the name uncultured bacterium. RNAcentral describes it as "bacterial SSU rRNA". It matches the Rfam family "Bacterial small subunit ribosomal RNA", at positions 28 to 1381 of the family's 1533-position model. The record is from RNAcentral.